This 257-nucleotide ribosomal RNA is filed under the name Salmonella enterica subsp. enterica serovar Typhimurium. RNAcentral's name for it is "partial 23S ribosomal RNA". It matches the Rfam family "Bacterial large subunit ribosomal RNA", at positions 911 to 1165 of the family's 2925-position model. RNAcentral also lists the same sequence under 3 other names. Lineage: Bacteria; Pseudomonadati; Pseudomonadota; Gammaproteobacteria; Enterobacterales; Enterobacteriaceae. The record is from RNAcentral.
UGUUUCGGCUAGGGGGCCAUCCCGGCUUACCAACCCGAUGCAAACUGCGAAUACCGGAGAAUGUUAUCACGGGAGACACACGGCGGGUGCUAACGUCCGUCGUGAAGAGGGAAACAACCCAGACCGCCAGCUAAGGUCCCAAAGUCAUGGUUAAGUGGGAAACGAUGUGGGAAGGCCCAGACAGCCAGGAUGUUGGCUUAGAAGCAGCCAUCAUUUAAAGAAAGCGUAAUAGCUCACUGGUCGAGUCGGCCUGCGCG